RNAcentral lists this ribosomal RNA (253 nucleotides) under uncultured bacterium. Its description in RNAcentral is "partial 16S ribosomal RNA". It matches the Rfam family "Bacterial small subunit ribosomal RNA", at positions 524 to 776 of the family's 1533-position model. The record is from RNAcentral.
UACAGAGGUCCCAAGCGUUGUUCGGAUUUACUGGGCGUAAAGGGUGCGUAGGUGGUGAGGUAAGUCUGAUGUGAAAUCUCCGAGCUCAACUCGGAAAUGGCAUUGGAAACUACCUUGCUAGAGGGUUGGAGGGGGGACUGGAAUACUUGGUGUAGCAGUGAAAUGCGUAGAUAUCAAGUGGAACACCAGUGGCGAAGGCGGCUCACUGGCCCGGUACUGACGCUGAGGCACGAAAGCGUGGGGAGCAAACAGG